Molecule: ribosomal RNA, 254 nt
Filed under: uncultured bacterium
Lineage: Bacteria
Description: partial 16S ribosomal RNA
Rfam family: Bacterial small subunit ribosomal RNA
Source: RNAcentral
UACGGGGGGAGCAAGCGUUGUUCGGAUUUCCUGGGCGUAAAGGGCGCGUAGGCGGCCUGUGCAAGUCAGUUGUGAAAUCUCCGAGCUUAACUCGGAACGGUCAACUGAUACUGCUCGGCUAGAGUGCGGAAGGGGCAACUGGAAUUCUUGGUGUAGCGGUGAAAUGCGUAGAUAUCAAGAGGAACACCUGCGGCGAAGGCGAGUCUCUGGACGACUCCUGACACUGAGGCACGAAAGCUAGGGGAGCAAACAGG